GGCAGACAUCCAUUCAUAUUAGCUUUUGCCUAAAUUUCUCCUGUAUCAUAUUCAGGAACCAAUCCAUCUUCCUGUGAAUUUGCCAGUUACCUAUUUGCUACACUACCCAUGUUUCUGGUUUACAAGCAGAGGCAGCCCCUAACAGUUGCCACUGCAAUUCUUAUGGAAUACAUAUUUUUAAAGUUAACAGGUAACAGCAAGCAUACAUUUCCUUAUCAUCUGUCAAUAUAUCAAAGAAAUGGAGGGAAAAGAAAAGAAAAGAAAAGAAAAACUUCAUCCUCAUCACCAACCCUUGAGAGGUUCAGACAAUUCUUCCCCCAUAAAUGAAAACAACUUGCAAAUUGUAAGCAAUA
Molecule: unclassified non-coding RNA, 353 nt
Filed under: Hevea brasiliensis (rubber tree)
Lineage: Eukaryota; Viridiplantae; Streptophyta; Magnoliopsida; Malpighiales; Euphorbiaceae
Source: RNAcentral